UGUUAAGUGCAUGCCGGCAGAUGGGGUGAAACGUAGGUGGCAUGGGUUUUCCGUAAGUAUGGGGCGUAAAGAGUUCCGGUCGUGGUGGUGACGAGUGACGGGAAAGGCCGGGGCUUAACCCCGGAUCUGCGGUUGGUACGGGCAGACUAGAGUGCAGGAGGGGAGACUGGAAUUCCUGGUGUAGCGGUGGAAUGCGCAGAUAUCAGGAGGAACACCGAUGGCGAAGGCAGGUCUCUGGGCUGUAACUGACGCUGAGGAGCGAAAGCAUGGGGAGCGAACAGGAUUAGAUACCCCGGUAGUC
Molecule: ribosomal RNA, 301 nt
Filed under: uncultured bacterium
Lineage: Bacteria
Description: bacterial SSU rRNA
Rfam family: Bacterial small subunit ribosomal RNA
Source: RNAcentral